GAUGAAGAACGCAGCGAAAUGCGAUACUUGGUGUGAAUUGCAGAAUCCCGUGAACCAUCGAGUCUUUGAACGCAAGUUGCGCCUCAAGCCAUUAGGUUGAGGGCACGUCUGCCUGGGCGUCACAUAUCGUUGCCUGAUGCCAGUUUCCUCGUGAUGGGUGACUGUGCAGGGCGAAUGAUGGCUUCCCGUGAGCAUUGUUGCCUCAUGGUUGGUUGAAAAUUGAGUCCUUGGUAGGGAGCGCCGUGAUAGAUGGUGGUUGAGUGACGAACGAGACCCAAUCAUGUGAGACCCCUACCGCAUUUGGCCUUCAUGACCCACAUGCGUCUUUGGAACGCUCAUGACGAGACCUCAGGUCAGGCGGGGCUACCCGCUGAGUUUAAGCAUAUCAAUAAGCGGAGGA
This 400-nucleotide unclassified non-coding RNA is filed under the name soil metagenome. Its description in RNAcentral is "partial contains 5.8S ribosomal RNA, internal transcribed spacer 2, and large subunit ribosomal RNA". The stretch from base 1 to 122 matches the Rfam family "5.8S ribosomal RNA", at positions 35 to 154 of the family's 154-position model. The record is from RNAcentral.